AACAAUAAUAACAACAACAAACAAUAACAACAGACAUCAGUUGAAAGACCCGACCGCCGACAGCGAAAUGCGGUGUAAGUAAGAAAGUGUGUGUGCAAUUUCAAGGCGCUGCUGCAUGCAUGCUUCAUGCUUGAAUGCAGGUAUGUGACAGAAAUCAUAAAGAGAAAGCUGUAAAAUUCUGUAUGAAAAAUUCAAGAACCUGAAAGCUGAUCGAACCUUAGUAUAAGGGCACCAGAGAAUACAGAAAAAAAAUUUGAAAGUCGAAGACUGAUCACGCGUGCCAUUCAUUGGAAAGCUAGUAAAGGAUUGACGCACGAAAAGGAGCUGUAUUAUUACAGUUGUGUCUGAGUUUGGUUCUAUCACGCUGAGCUAUACCAAAAAGUCCUUUAAGACCGAGAAGGAUAUAUGUAUACAAGCCAUUCGAUAAAUGUGGUUUAAGACUUCUGAGGAAAUAUGCGAGAAAGAGAGCAAAACUGAAAACUUUGUCUCCAAAAGAUGCGAUGCUGUUUCUCGAAGCGCUCGAUUCAGAUGGUGAGGAAGAGUAAAGAGUCCAAUUUAUAAUGGUGUUCCAGAAGAGGAGAUCAAAGCAUUUAUGACAGAUGUUGUAUACAGUUCACUAAAAAAUACAAACCGGAGCCUUUUGAAGUAACCAGUCUCAGCCUCAACAGCUCAACACUCUCGUUUUAUGUGCUCGAAAAAAACAACGGCACUUAUUCACUGCAAGCAGUGCCAUUCGAAUCGCGAACAGUUAACGCACAAAACACCCACGAAGAAUAAAAGUGCGAGGACAUAAAAGAGCAUACAUUCAUAUAGAAGAAAGAACGGGUGCUAGAUUUGCACUUCCAGAUCCCCAUUACACUGAUUGCAGCACUUCAUGGACACAUCAUGACCACCGCCAGCUGUGAGACAUAUCAAGGAAACAGUUCGCACACAAACCCUGAUUAUCCACCAAAAUCUGGCAAAAGUGCAUCUCCUAUAAAGGAACUAUCUUUUGCUUUUGACUUUGACAACUUAUUUACCUCAAUAGGAAUGUUUUUAGCACUGAAACAGCAGGGUUGCUAUGGUACCGGAACGCUUAGAGAAAACAUGUUGCCAAAAUCAUGUUCAUUACCUAACAAAAUAAUUUUGAAAAAUAAAGAGCGUAGCUUUGUAAUCACUAAAAAAUUGCAAGUGCAAAUAUAUAUAUGUAACUAAAUAAGUCGAUAAUUCGAAAUUAUAUACUGCAAAGAAUUUAGAAACCCAAAAACUCAAGCAGAAGUUCAGCGUUCCCGUAAUGAUCGUCACAACAUCUUUAAUCCUGUUAUAACAGCUGACGAACGGCGUUAACAAUGUAAUCUCCGUUUAUGCUUUAAAUGUCUCGCUUUACCAUAUCCGGCGUGUUGUUGCAUGCAUGUAAUAGGCGGCUCCAUCCAACCUGGCUGAAAUUGCGCUCUCUCUCGCUCUUUUACAGUUGAAUUUCCAUUUCCUGGUCUUCUCUGGUUAUCCUUUUUGGUAUCAGCUACCUAACGCUAUCUAGUGCAAUUCAAAUCGAGAGAUUACUAAUAUUCAUUGACAUUGAAAUAACCUUUUAAAAUUUGUUUUGGAAUUAACAAUAAAUUACAGCAACAACAACUAAACGUUUAUGGGACAAAAGUUUUCAAAUAAACCAUAUUAUAUACCAACUGGACGAUAGAAAUAUUGAAAGAAAAAAUGUAAGACAAACACAUGGUCAGCGGUCAGCAGUCAGCGGUCAGCUCGCGCCUCAAUAAACCGCCGAGUAGUGAAUAAAAGUGGGGUCACGCUUGUAAAACGCCCUUGGCAACAGAGUGCAGCAAAUCGUUAUGAAACCGGAAAUAUUAUAAUAAAAACGUAUGCUUGUUUACAAAACAACAACAACAACAAC
RNAcentral lists this long non-coding RNA (1882 nucleotides) under Ceratitis capitata (Mediterranean fruit fly). RNAcentral describes it as "uncharacterized LOC110118583, transcript variant X1". The record is from RNAcentral. Lineage: Eukaryota; Metazoa; Arthropoda; Insecta; Diptera; Tephritidae.